UACGACCAUCACGGACCAGACUCCCGUAGAGACGGUGGUCGACAUGUUUAGGAAGCUGGGACUCCGACAGACGCUCGUCACGCAUAACGGCCGUCUGCUGGGAAUCGUCACGAAGAAGGACGUGUUACGGCACAUCAAGCAGCUUGAGAACAAGGAUCCGUCGACCGUGCUGUUCGACUAACCGGCGCGGUCCGCCUCUUAACUCAAAGCAGCUUGAGAACAAGGAUCCGUCGACCCGUGCUGUUCGACUAGCAUCGCGCGCGUCCGCCAUCUUAAUAUUAUCAAGCAGCUUGAGAACAAGGAUCCGUCGACCGUGCUGUUCGACUAGCAUCGCGCGCGUCCCGCCAUCUUAAUCUCAAGCAGCUUGAGAACAAGGAUCCGUUGACGGUGCUGUUCGACUAACCGGCGCGCGUCCGCCAUCUUAAUCUCAAGCAGCUUUGAGAACAAGGAUCCGUCGACCGUGCUGUUCGACUAGCAUCGCGCGCGUCCGCCAUCUUAAUCGCGUUAAAUUCUCGGCUUCGUCGUCUUCGCUUCAGUUCGUAGCGAGCGCAUGUUUUCACUCAGGCUCUCCUGCGCGAGCAAGAGAGAGAGAGAGAGAGAGAGAGAGAGAGAGACGAGGAGGAUAGAGAGAGAGGAGAGAGAGAGAGAGAGAGAGAGAGAGAGAAG
This is a long non-coding RNA of Priapulus caudatus, 666 nucleotides long. RefSeq lists it as uncharacterized. Lineage: Eukaryota; Metazoa; Priapulida; Priapulimorpha; Priapulimorphida; Priapulidae. The transcript has 3 exons. The record is from RefSeq and is a predicted model, not a curated record.